RNAcentral lists this ribosomal RNA (465 nucleotides) under uncultured bacterium. RNAcentral's name for it is "bacterial SSU rRNA". It matches the Rfam family "Bacterial small subunit ribosomal RNA", at positions 28 to 507 of the family's 1533-position model. The record is from RNAcentral.
GACGAACGCUAGCGGCGGGCUUAAUACAUGCAAGUUUAGGGGUUCAGCAAUGGACACCGGCGGACGGGUGCGUAACACGUAUGCAACCUGCCCUUUACUGGAGGAUACUCCGGAGAAAUUCGGCACAACACUCCAUAUACUCAUACUUUCGCAUGGGAGAAUGAGGAAAGGUUACGGUAAAGGAUGGGCAUGCGUCUGAUUAGCUAGUUGGCGAGGUAACGGCUCACCAAGGCGACGAUCAGUAGCUGGUCUGAGAGGAUGAUCAGCCACACUGGCACUGAGAUACGGGCCAGACUCCUACGGGAGGCAGCAGUAGGGAAUAUUGGUCAAUGGGCGAAAGCCUGAACCAGCCACGCCGCGUGCAGGAAGAAGGUCCUCUGGAUUGUAAACUGCUUUGCCAAGGGAUAAAGAGAGGCUAUACGCCUAAAUGAAGGUACUUGGUGAAUAAGCACGGCUAACUACGUG